AUAUAUAUAUAUUUUUUUUUCUCUGCAUGUUGUAUACCAGAUGAAUUGAGCAAGUCCAAGAGAAAAAUGUAACAUAUCCAUUCAUAAAAUGUAGACAAGCUAACUGUUCAUGAAAAGAACAUGUAAAAGAAAACAGUAAUUAGUUUACCUCUGUUAACAUCCUUUCAGAUCUGCAAUUGUCAUCUAUUUGUAUUUGCCUCUUUGUUUGCUGAUCAUUUCUCUCUUUUGUAUUGAAAAUCUUAACUGCUACCACAGG
Molecule: unclassified non-coding RNA, 256 nt
Filed under: Hevea brasiliensis (rubber tree)
Lineage: Eukaryota; Viridiplantae; Streptophyta; Magnoliopsida; Malpighiales; Euphorbiaceae
Source: RNAcentral